Molecule: ribosomal RNA, 160 nt
Filed under: uncultured bacterium
Lineage: Bacteria
Description: partial 16S ribosomal RNA
Rfam family: Bacterial small subunit ribosomal RNA
Source: RNAcentral
AGACUCCUACGGGAGGCAGCAGUGGGGAAUAUUGCACAAUGGGGGAAACCCUGAUGCAGCGACGCCGCGUGGAGGAAGAAAGGUCUUCGGAUUGUAAAACUCCUGUUGUUGAGGAAGAUAAUGACGGUACUCAACAAGGAAGUGACGGCUAACUACGUGC